AGUCAAUAGAUACCCAGGUAGUCCACGCCGUAAACGAUGAGUACUAGGUGUAGGAGGUAUCGACUCCUUCUGUGCCGCAGUUAACACAAUAAGUACCCCGCCUGGGAAGUACGGUCGCAAGAUUAAAACUCAAAGGAAUUGACGGGGGCCCGCACAAGCAGCGGAGCAUGUGGUUUAAUUCGAAGCAACGCGAAGAACCUUACCUAGACUUGACAUCUCCUGAAUAGCGCAGAGAUGCGUGAAGCCCUUCGGGGCAGGAAGACAGGUGGUGCAUGGUUGUCGUCAGCUCGUGUCGUGAGAUGUUGGGUUAAAGUCCCGCAACGAGCGCAACCCCUAUUAUUAGUUGCUACCAUUAAGUUGAGCACUCUAAUGAGACUGCCCGGGUUAACCGGGGAGGAAGGCGGGGAUGACGUCAAAUCAUCAUGCCCCUUAUGUCUAGGGCUACACACGUGCUACAAUGGUGAGAACAACGAGAUGCAAUACCGCGAGGUGGAGCAAAACUUGAAAACUCAUCUCAGUUCGGAUUGUAGG
RNAcentral lists this ribosomal RNA (531 nucleotides) under uncultured bacterium. RNAcentral's name for it is "bacterial SSU rRNA". It matches the Rfam family "Bacterial small subunit ribosomal RNA", at positions 775 to 1304 of the family's 1533-position model. The record is from RNAcentral.